This 169-nucleotide ribosomal RNA is filed under the name Drombus simulus (pinafore goby). Its description in RNAcentral is "partial 12S rRNA". Lineage: Eukaryota; Metazoa; Chordata; Actinopteri; Gobiiformes; Gobiidae. The record is from RNAcentral.
CACCGCGGUUAUACGAGAGGCCCAAGUUGACAGAAAACGGCGUAAAAAGUGGUUAAUUGACUAAUAUACUAGAGCCAAACACCUUCAAGACCGUCAUACGCAACCGGAGGCAGGAAGCCCUACAACGAAAGUGGCUUUAACAUAUAAUGAGCCCACGAAAGCUAGGGGA